This 265-nucleotide ribosomal RNA is filed under the name unidentified gamma proteobacterium groupH. Its description in RNAcentral is "partial 16S small subunit ribosomal RNA". It matches the Rfam family "Bacterial small subunit ribosomal RNA", at positions 1106 to 1373 of the family's 1533-position model. Lineage: Bacteria; Pseudomonadati; Pseudomonadota; Gammaproteobacteria. The record is from RNAcentral.
UGUCCUUAUUUGCCAUCAUUAAGUUGGCACUCUAGGGAGACUCCCGGUGACAACCCGGAGGAAGGUGGGGACGACGUCAAGUCAUCAUGGCCCUUACGACCAGGGCUACACACGUGCUACAAUGGAGCGUACAAAGGGUUGCGACCUCGCGAGAGUGAGCUAAUCCCAUAAAACGUUUCGUAGUCCGGAUCGCAGUCUGCAACUCGACUGCGUGAAGUCGGAAUCGCUAGUAAUCGUGAAUCAGAAUGUCAUGGUGAAUACGUUC